This 433-nucleotide ribosomal RNA is filed under the name uncultured bacterium. Its description in RNAcentral is "partial 16S ribosomal RNA". It matches the Rfam family "Bacterial small subunit ribosomal RNA", at positions 29 to 507 of the family's 1533-position model. The record is from RNAcentral.
AACGAACGCUGGCGGCAGGCCUAACACAUGCAAGUCGAGCGAGGACUUCGGUCCUAGCGGCGGACGGGGGAGUAACGCGUGGGAACGUGCCCUUUGAUUCGGAAUAGCUCUGGGAAACAGGGAGUAAUAACGGAUGAGACCUCCGGGGGAAAGAUUUAUCGGCGGAGGAGCGGCCCGCGUGGGAUUAGGUAGUUGGUGUGGUAAUGGCCUACCAAGCCGACGAUCCGUAGCUGGUGUGAGAGGAUGCUCAGCCACACUGGGACUGAGACACGGCCCAGACUCCUACGGGAGGCAGCAGUGGGGAAUCUUAGACAAUGGGGGAAACCCUGAUGUAGCCAUGCCGCGUGAGCGAUGAAGGCCGUAGGGUUGUAAAGCUCUUUAAGCUGGGAAGAUAAUGACGGUACCAGCAGAAGAAGCCCCGGCUAACUACGUG